CUUGAACAGUAGAAUAAAUGCCUACCGACUGAUGUGUCAUCUAUGGACCCUCGGGCCCGCAGUCUCCACGGUUCCUCCACCUCAGCGGCUGAGCCUAGGAGCUGCACGCACGCGCAAAAGGAGAGGUUUUGACCUUUAGGAGAGAGCCAAUUCUGGAGAACAACCUAACUUCUUUGAUUGAACGUUCAUAUAAUGCAUUGGAACAUGAUAGGAGAUUAAGGUUUAGUAACAAUAAAAUGAAGACAAUAAUAGAACAAGCCCCUUACGUAGCCCAGCAGUUCUUACCUUUUUCUACCUUGACAUGAAGUCUUACCUACUUGAUGAAGAUGUCUUUUGAAUGGUGUACUGCAAGGAGUGAAAUACUGUUUGUAAAUUAUGCUUUUGCCAAGGUGGAUAUUACUAAUCCUUAUCCAUGGAAAAGGUUUUAUUCUAAGUGUCAUUUCUCAUUGAAUAUUAUCAAAAAGGAGAAAAACUAAUGCCCUAAACUUUUGAGAUAGUUUUGGCUCUAGUAAGUAUUUAGACAUAAUACUUGCAUAUCUGGGAGAAGAAAUAAGAGACCAUCAUCAGUACAUUUCCAGCUAACAUUUUUAUUUUCUUGCCUCUUACCAAGGGAUUUCUUACAGGUUUUAUUACAAUAGAUUGAACACCUUUAAUGGAGAAUUAGUUUUCUCCACUAUAAUUUAAGAGUUUAUGUUCUUACCUUGUUUAUUUAUAAAGUAUAUCCCACAGAUUUCUUAUGUCUUCUUUUUUUAGGCUAUAUCCAAUGAAGAAAAUGGCAAAACAAGUUUAAACCUUUUAUGUUAAAAUUACUGUGCAAGGUGACAAGCAUUUAUUUUGACAUCACCACUGUCCCCACAAAAAAUGUGAGAACUGACUGUACCAUGGAUACCUAGACCAUGGAAAGGACUGAGGCUGGAGACUGGAAGUAGAAGCAGACAUUGUACAGAGCAAAGUGCCAACAACAGCUCACUCUAGUAAAGGGCAAUAAAUGCCCCAUGAGGUGAUCUCCUCAGUACAAGACUUUACAUCUGACUCAUAUGCCUGGUCUGAUGACUUCUACUAUCUUUUCAUGACUCCUAAAUUAUGGAGUUACAGUGUCCCAUUCUAUUUUGGAGUGAAUUCAAGAGGCUUACUGAGAUGUUCUUGACAGAUGUGUCUCCAGAUGAGAUAAUCUUGAAAAUAUUUACUGAAAUAAGAAACUCAAUCCACUCUGAAAGCACACAUUUUCUAAUGAAUAAUAUAUAUAUUUUUAAUUUUGGUAACCCAUCUCCUUGCAGAAACCUCUCCAUUGUGAACCCAUGACUUCUCAGAAACUGUUUAAUUAAAGGCUUAAGUUAUUUUAAUUUAAACACAUUGUCAAUGUUAUGAAUUGUAUUUGUAGUAAGCUCCAGAAAGGAAGGCCUUGUUUUGUUCCUUGCUGUGUCUCUCAUGUCUAGAAUAGUAUUGGUACACAAACGUCCAUAAUUAAUUAAUUAAGUUUAUGUAUAUUACAUAUUUCCCUAGGUAAUGUUUCUAGGAGCACAUUAAAAAGAACAUUUUAUUUCUCAUCUUAAACUAGUAUCUGGCAAAUAUGAAUGUCUAAGAACACAUUAAUAUCAGUUUAAACAUUUCCUGUCCUAUUCCCUGGCAAUCUAUAGUUACAACAUUUUUUAUUUCAGUAUUAUUUUAACCAGUUAUCAGUUUUUAAUAAUCUUAUCAGCAAAGCACUAUACAGAGUUAAACAGUGUUACAUAUAUAACCAGGCCAACUAUAUCUGGCUAGUUAAAUCACAAACAUGCCAAAAACUUAGCAGAACAGAAAUAUUGUACCCUAGAAUAUGAUGCUAGCAAUGGAACGAGACCAAACACAUCAUCCCCAAAACUAAGGUGACAGACUAAAACAACUAAGUUGGCUUUUCUGUGGUAAAGAGAGGAUGAGUGCCACCAAAAACAAAAUACUCGUUUGUAGGCUUUUUUUCUUGUCUGGGUCAUUAUUUUCAGUUACUAACCUUAACAUUAUUAAAUUGAAAUAUUUUGCACUUUUCCAUUAUAUAUAACCUUUUGAGGUACUAUUAGAAAAUUUUUUUUAAAUCUUUCUUCCCUACAACUUUUUUUGUCUUACUCAUAUUUUAAUUCUGCAAGCUUAGUAUAGUGUCCAACAAAUGUUUAACAUAUGUUUUUGAAUGAAUGAAUUAUACUUUUUAAAAUGAUUCUCGACUGUUUCCACUCAACAUUUUUUAACCCUACAAUAUGCAGAGUAUUUGGUGCUCUUUGACUUAAUGAUUCCCUUUCUACAUGUUUAUCCUAAUGUUUUAUUUAUUGUUUGUUUGUUUGCUUGUUUUAUGAGGGGGAGAUAGUUAGGUUUAUUCAUUUAUUUAUGUUUGGAGGAGGUACUAGGAAUAUCCUGAUGUUUUAAAUGACACAUGUAUAAGGAAUUCCUACAAGAGGACUCACUAAGUCAAAGUAAAAUGUGUAUUUUAAAUGUCAGUACAAGUUAUUCAAAAGCUUUUCACCAAAGUAGAUGCUAAUUGGUAACAAAAGUAUUAUUUCUCUCACCAAGUGUUCAGCACAGUGCUUUACACAGAGCAGUUAGAACUGUUGAGUGGAUCGAACUCACAUCAAGUGAGAAAACUGCGUUUUUAUGGUGGCAUAUACAUCUUUAUAGAGGAAAGAGCUGACUAAUAUGCCUAGGAAAGGAGGAAAACAAGACCACAAGAGAGGCGCAAUUGAAAGUGGGCCACCCUCCUUCAUCAUCUUCGUCAGACAGUUACUGAGUGCCUACCGUG
Non-coding RNA from Vicugna pacos (alpaca), 2764 nucleotides. Lineage: Eukaryota; Metazoa; Chordata; Mammalia; Artiodactyla; Camelidae. The record is from RefSeq and is a predicted model, not a curated record.